This 460-nucleotide ribosomal RNA is filed under the name uncultured bacterium. RNAcentral describes it as "partial 16S ribosomal RNA". It matches the Rfam family "Bacterial small subunit ribosomal RNA", at positions 338 to 795 of the family's 1533-position model. The record is from RNAcentral.
CCUACGGGCGGCAGCAGUGAGGAAUAUUGGUCAAUGGGCGCAAGCCUGAACCAGCCAAGUCGCGUGAGUGAUGACGGUCCUAUGGAUUGUAAACCUCUUUUGUCGGGGAGCAAGGCCCGCCACGUGUGGCGGGAAGGAGAGUACCCGAAGAAAAAGCCUCGGCUAACUCCGUGCCGGAAGCCGCGGUAAUACGGGGGAUGCGAGCGUUAUCCGGAUUGAUUGGGGUUAACGGGUGCGUAGGCGGAAGGUUAAGUCAGCGGUCAAAUGUCGGUGCUCAACACCGGCCUGCCGUUGAAACUGGUCGGCGUGAGUGAGCGAGAGGGAGGCGGAAUGCGUGGUGUAGCGGUGAAAUGCAUAGAUAUCACGCAGAACUCCGAUGGCGAAGGCAGCAUACCGGCGCUCAACUGACGCUGAGGCACGAAAGCGUGGGGAUCGAACAGGAUUAGAUACCCUUGUAGUC